CAAGAUAGAGCAUGAUUAUAUGCAUUUCACUUACACUGAAAAGAUAAUAUUAUAUUUAUCUUGA
This 64-nucleotide transfer RNA is filed under the name Glycinde armigera. RNAcentral's name for it is "tRNA-Val". Lineage: Eukaryota; Metazoa; Annelida; Polychaeta; Phyllodocida; Goniadidae. The record is from RNAcentral.